UCCUGCUUGGUUGGUUCUUCCGAUCCCGAUUUUUGUCGCCGCACCCAUAUGUCCCCGAAAACUCCGCCACUACCACACGGGUAAGGGAUGAGGAGGUUCGACUUUCGAGCUCAUCGACAGUUUCUUCCCAACUCGCUCGGUUGCUGCACAAUGGCGACCCCCGAUGUCUUUUCUUGGAUGCCGCUGCGGCGUUGCGCCGUUGCUGCCAUCGGGCAGCGGGGUCAUGGCAGAAAGGCGGAUCCAGCCCGUGUGCGCUCGCCGAGCUGGGUGGUGUGGCCGUGUGGGUGCUGCGCCAGCCGCUAUUAAUGGGGCCGGGAAGAACUGGCGUAUGACCACCACGACAUCCGCGGUAGCAGCCGAGUCGCCGUCAAGUGUCUCGACGACCACAGGCCUGACAAGGAGGACGCGACGGAGCAUUGGCGGAUGGGGACGGUGGCGUGGCCUCAGUGAUCCGUGAACCAUGGCUAGCUAGUUGCUGGUCUCAGUGUGGUCCUCCUCCCAUCAAAUCGACUAGCAUGUUUGGGUGGAUGAACUAUCGAUGAUGCCGAUGGCCUGAUGCUUGCUCCAUGUUUGGGUGAAUAUCCCCUGGAGUUCUCUCGCAUGGCUAUGAGUUUCUUCAAUAAUGGCAGAUUGUUUAUAAUGUUAAAUUGCCUGUGUAGAUGGAUAAAUUCACAAGUUGUGGGUAAUCCAUUAGAUAGUGAUAGGAUUUCUUCAAAUGAUAGCAUAUCUUUUUGCAGUAUGUAUAGGCAGGUACCUGUCAGAUUAUACUGAAUUUUCAUUUGACAUGUCAUGGCUUGAUGGUGGGGAUAGAUAUUCAUGUAGUAUACUUGCAAAAUAAAAUAGAUUAGUAAAAUCUGUAAUUCACUUCUAUUUUUUAAAAUGGGUCGUACUUUGUUAUGUAUAAAUCUCAUGUCCUCGACACCUCCAGACCAAUGGCAAUGCAUGGAAUUGUGAGAUUGAUCUAUGCAAAGCCUUCUGCAUGCUCCUCUCCUGCUCAUUUAGUAAGCACGGAAUUGUGAGAUUGACCUACGCAAAGCCUUCUGCAUGCUUCUGUCUUGCUCAUGUAGUUUAUACUGUCCGUACUGUGUGGACCUAUUUCCUUGGGAACUAUCAUUUUGAUCUGACAGUUUACAAUAAGAGAUCAAGCAUGCUACCUCUUGAAUGGGUUCAAAUCUUUCUAGUAGGAACAAAAUUGGUUCUUAUAUUUUUUUACUCCUUGUCCAUUCCAACUUCUCUGCCAUAUUGUUUUAUAGUUUCUGUUUGUGAGUACAACCGAAUUAAAUACACCUAUUGGGCUAUGACUGUGAAAAGAAUGUGAGGAUUAUAUGGAGAACAGGACAAAUCUGCUCUGCCAUAUCCUACUAUUGUUUCGCUGAUGCAAUUAGCAGAUGCAUUCCGAGACAAGUUUCCAAAUUCGAAGUUUGUUUAUUCUAUUUAUUAACACUUGCUUCCAAUUUGAUCCUCAUGAUCCCAUUAAUAAUGGUGAAUAAAUGGAUGGGAUCCUUAAAUAGGGUAUUCUUCGAAUGUUCAGGUUUGGAUAUUCAAUCUGUAUAUGCAUCUUUAAAUUUCAGAACUGAAUCAUGAGAAUUAUCUUGUUCAUUGCAGGUCAAUGUUGGAUGUCCUCAUGACAAGCUCCUACAACGUUGGUUCAGCCAUGUUCAAUCCUUGGAGUUGGAUUAUUGCUUAGUGGGUCGAGGAUCAUAGAAGGCACGCCUGCUAACUGAGAAAGAUGCAGAACGGCAGCAGAACUAGAACUCUUUAAAAGGAUGCUGAACGGCGAUAGAACUAAUAAGGUCUUGCUUGAAGUCUGGAAGCUGGUUUGCACAUUGUUUUUUACAAAAACAUGACUAGUUUGCACUUGGAGUAUUUGCAGAGGAAUGGUGUUGCUGCAUCUUAUUAUUACAUGGCAGAAUGCUUGUAUCAUAUUGAGGAUCAGAUUCAGAGCAAGCGAGAACCGCGCGUAGCACGGUUGGUAGGAGCCAGUGGAUGGCUCCCUACCAGCCAGCGUUCGAGUCUCACUCGACACUGGUUUCUCACAAAAAAAUCCCCUCGUCUGCCCCAUGUGCCAAAGCACAGUUGGGCCUGCCUCUUGUCGUUGAUCCCCCCAUGUGCGUGAAUCGCCCAUUCUCACGGGUGCGGGCACUGUGUACGGGUGGGGCAGGAAUUCGGUGGUUUUCUCGACCUGUGUGAAAAAAUUCUUCUUUGGUGAAAAUGCUGUGGAGGCAGUCUUACCCCCCACACGUCGAGUUCUUUAGGAUCAGAGCAAGCAUGCCGACAUGCUGAGUACGGAACCAGGCUUAUACCAGACAUCAAGCUAAUAGUUAUUGCCUCAUCUGCGUUUGGCUCAUAAAGUGCUGCCUGGGCUUCGUUACAAACUCCAAUGCCAUCUUGGUCCCUGUCAGGCGCGUGGAGCACGGAUUCCUUCCCUAUGAACUUGUCGUGCUUAUUGGCACUUAAUUUUGUAAUUUCCCAAAUCUAUUGAGUGCGAAAACUAUCAGUCAUGUAUGUUGCAGAUGCAUGUGGUCAAACAUAAAAAGGUUUUAUGAAAUCAAAUUGGCCGUGUAAUCGACUUUAUGGUACUAUUUGUGUCCAUGUUGCAGCAGUAAAAUCUUGAUGUAUUCAUGGUA
Long non-coding RNA from Panicum virgatum (switchgrass), 2627 nucleotides. RefSeq lists it as uncharacterized. The transcript has 2 exons. The record is from RefSeq and is a predicted model, not a curated record. NCBI's taxonomy places the organism in Eukaryota, Viridiplantae, Streptophyta, Magnoliopsida, Poales, Poaceae.